UACGUAGGGUGCAAGCGUUAAUCGGAAUUACUGGGCGUAAAGCGUGCGCAGGCGGUUUUGUAAGUCUGAUGUGAAAUCCCCGGGCUCAACCUGGGAAUUGCAUUGGAGACUGCAAGGCUAGAAUCUGGCAGAGGGGGGUAGAAUUCCACGUGUAGCAGUGAAAUGCGUAGAGAUGUGGAGGAACACCGAUGGCGAAGGCAGCCCCCUGGGUCAAGAUUGACGCUCGUGCACGAAAGCGUGGGGAGCACACAGG
RNAcentral lists this ribosomal RNA (253 nucleotides) under uncultured bacterium. RNAcentral's name for it is "partial 16S ribosomal RNA". It matches the Rfam family "Bacterial small subunit ribosomal RNA", at positions 524 to 776 of the family's 1533-position model. The record is from RNAcentral.